This 249-nucleotide ribosomal RNA is filed under the name Mycobacterium tuberculosis. RNAcentral describes it as "partial 16S ribosomal RNA". It matches the Rfam family "Bacterial small subunit ribosomal RNA", at positions 552 to 801 of the family's 1533-position model. Lineage: Bacteria; Bacillati; Actinomycetota; Actinomycetes; Mycobacteriales; Mycobacteriaceae. The record is from RNAcentral.
UACUGGGCGUAAAGCGCGCGUAGGUGGUUCGUUAAGUUGGAUGUGAAAGCCCCGGGCUCAACCUGGGAACUGCAUCCAAAACUGGCGAGCUAGAGUACGGUAGAGGGUGGUGGAAUUUCCUGUGUAGCGGUGAAAUGCGUAGAUAUAGGAAGGAACACCAGUGGCGAAGGCGGCUACCGGGACCAACACUGACCCUGAGGUGCGAAAGCGUGGGGAGAAAACAGGAUUAGAAACCCGAGUAGUCACGUC